RNAcentral lists this ribosomal RNA (642 nucleotides) under uncultured bacterium. Its description in RNAcentral is "bacterial SSU rRNA". It matches the Rfam family "Bacterial small subunit ribosomal RNA", at positions 365 to 1035 of the family's 1533-position model. The record is from RNAcentral.
UUGACAUGGGGGCACUCAUCAUUAGCCGGUGAGUGAUGAAGGCCCUAGGGUUGUAAAACUCUUUCGGCGGGGACGAUAAUGACGGUACCCGCAGAAGAAGCUCCGGCUAACUUCGUGCCAGCAGCCGCGGUAAUACGAAGGGGGCUAGCGUUGUUCGGAAUUACUGGGCGUAAAGCGCGCGCAGGCGGUCCUUCAAGUCAGGGGUGAAAGCCCAGAGCUCAACUCUGGAACUGCCUUUGAGACUGUAGGACUUGGGUACGGGAGAGGUGAGUGGAAUUCCGAGUGUAGAGGUGAAAUUCGUAGAUAUUCGGAAGAACACCAGUGGCGAAGGCGGCUCACUGGCCCGCUACCGACGCUCAGGCGCGACAGCGUGGGGAGCAAACAGGAUUAGAUACCCUGGUAGUCCACGCCGUAAACGAUGGAUGCUAGCCGUUGGUAAGCAUGCUUAUCAGUGGCGCAGCUAACGCAUUAAGCAUCCCGCCUGGGGAGUACGGACGCAAGGUUGAAACUUAGAGGAAUUGACGGGGGCCCGAACAAGCGGUGGAGCAUGUGGUUUAAUUCGACGCAACGCGCAGAACCUUAACAGGUCUUGACAUCCCGUGCUAAGCCAGAGAUGGGUGGACCCGCAAGGGGCCGCGGGAG